UCCUGCAUUAUUAGUAGAAUCUUUUUCCUUUCUUGAAGGCAAGUCAUUAGGUUGUCCAAGAUACAAGAAUAUUCAUACAACAUAUUUCAUAACUAUAUGACUUGACAUAAGAUAAGACAAUGAUUGAAUUUGAGUCACUCUACUCAAGAGAUUGCGUAAAUAUAAGCAAGCACAAGUCACUUGAACUAAAGAGAUAAUUUUAUUAAAUAAUAUGGUUCAAGGACACCUAUGUGAGGCAAUAAGAAGAUUUAUCAAAGUCAAACCAAUUUCUUAUUUUCAGAAGCAAUUUAGCUUAGAUUCUAUUUGCUUAAGUUAAUUAUCAAUAAGAUAUACCAGUUAAGUAAAUUAUCUUAAAUAGUUGUUUCUAUCAAAAUUCUGGUUAUGAUUCGGCUUUCAAUACAAAUAAUCUUGUUUCAGAGAGAUAGGCAAUUUUCUUUUAGAUUAAUUAAGAUUUUAUAUUUGACUUAUGGGAGAUGGUUCAAAGGAAUUAAUAUUCAUACUUUUAGAAUAUUUUUAUGCUCAGAUUAAACAUGACGUGUUAACAUUAAUCAGUAGAAUUUGAGAUGAUUUUAUGUAAGGAUAUUAAUCAUUCAAUCAAGGAUACAAUGAUUAUACUAAAUGAAACACUUUAAAGAUCAGAAUUAUUAAUCUUAGUUUUUUAGAAUAGUCUUGAGAAUUACUUAAAAAAAAACAAUCCAUUGUUAUAAAACUUUUUAGUAGAAUUCCCAUUAUGAUCACGACAUAUUAAUCAUUUAUGAUUGAAACAUAUGAUGCAUACAUGCGACUUAUAGAGUAAAUCAUAAUAUAUUUCAAAUAAUCACAUAAGGAAUGAGUGAUAUAAUGAUAAAUUAUACUCAUACCUUCACAAAUAAUGAAAUAAGAUUUCAUAAGUGUUAUGCUCAAUAAAGUUUUAACAUGAAGGUAUGAAAUCAGCAUCAAGUAUUUAUACUAGAGAGGGAAUUUAGAUUUUGUAAACUUGAAGAAGAAGGUUAUAUAUAUA
This 1000-nucleotide long non-coding RNA is filed under the name Phoenix dactylifera (date palm). Its description in RNAcentral is "long non-coding RNA (PDAC_LNC016490)". The record is from RNAcentral. Lineage: Eukaryota; Viridiplantae; Streptophyta; Magnoliopsida; Arecales; Arecaceae.